GGAUGUGAGGGUGAUCUAGCUGCAACGUCUGUCACCUUAUUGAUUGCCAGGGUUGAUUUGGCUGAUCUGGUUGGCUAGGCAGAUGCCCCUUUCCUCCCUCACCACUCCAUGUGCAUCCCUCCCAAGGCUGCAUGCUCGACUGAAGAGUACAACCAUCCCCGCUAGAGGAGGACCCUUCUUUGGUCAAGGGUAUAUGAAUAGCUGUGCUCCCCUGCUAGAACCUCCAAACAGUCUCUCAAGAUCAUAAAAUCUACUGAAUCUCUCUCAAAACAAAGCAACCAACCAUUUAUCUGCAGAGAUUCUAU
Molecule: small nuclear RNA, 305 nt
Filed under: Carlito syrichta (Philippine tarsier)
Lineage: Eukaryota; Metazoa; Chordata; Mammalia; Primates; Tarsiidae
Description: 7SK RNA (ENSTSYG00000020266.2)
Rfam family: 7SK RNA
About the family: 7SK was discovered as an abundant small nuclear RNA in the mid-70s but a possible function has only recently been suggested. Two independent studies have found that 7SK RNA binds the CDK9/cyclin T complex (known as elongation factor P-TEFb). P-TEFb activates transcription by phosphorylating the C-terminal domain of RNA polymerase II.
Source: Rfam by way of RNAcentral